CUCAGGUAGUGUUGAAAGAUUUUUAUGUGAGAGUUUUUUUAAUCCAAACAGAAGGACGCCUUUGUUAUUCUUCUUUAUAAUAAUACACCAGCUUCUCUUUUCCCUAAAAUUCACAAUACCAUUUAGAUGCUCAAGUUUUAGGGUCCAUGUUUUACCAUUGCUUUCAUCAGGCUAAAGUCAUGAAGACUUGUUCAUCCCAGAUGCUGUAUGGGUUUUCACCUACGAUG
RNAcentral lists this long non-coding RNA (227 nucleotides) under Elaeis guineensis (African oil palm). Its description in RNAcentral is "long non-coding RNA (EGUI_LNC005570)". The record is from RNAcentral. Lineage: Eukaryota; Viridiplantae; Streptophyta; Magnoliopsida; Arecales; Arecaceae.